GGGUCAGAAGUCAAGGUGGCUUGCUAUUUGUGCAACAGUAAUUGGUGGUUCAAUCAUGCUUACUACAAUUGGAUCUAUGUGCUAUUGCGUGAUUUUGCAUAGAAUGGAGGAGUCAAGAUUGAGGAGUAUAAGGAGGGAGAGUCAAUCUGGUUCUUACUCUAUGUCUAUGGUAUCAGAGCCGGAGGUCCUAGAAGGUGAAUAUAAAAGGAUGUAUGCACUGUAAGGACAUCAGGAUGGAAAGAAAUGGAUCAACUAUGAAUAACAGACCUAUUAUUCUCAUCUAUAUUAUGAAGAUAGCUAUAUGAUGCUAAUGAUUUUAAUGGUAAUGAAAUUUUCUUGCAAGUUGUGCUGAGGUGUUGCAUCACUAGAACAAUAUGAAGAGACGAAAAGAGUACUAUGAUUCAGCAAUUGAAAGACACCUAUUCAUAUGCUCAUCGUUUUUGUUUUCUGCAAGAAAGCUCCCUUGACAAGAUGCUGGUUUUUUGGUGAAACAUCCACACAAUGGUGAGCUCUGAUUACUGUCUGGAUCUGAUUUACAAGUAGUUACAGAUUUGAUCAAGACUCAAAAGUGGGCAGAAGUUUUUGAAGACUGAUGCCAUUUCUUGGGUCCGGUUGGAUUGUAUUUUGUAUGCAUGAGAAAAUGUUGUAGUGUAAUUAUCUUUAAUAGUUAAUCUACAAAAGCUUAGCUAC
RNAcentral lists this unclassified non-coding RNA (690 nucleotides) under Hevea brasiliensis (rubber tree). The record is from RNAcentral. Lineage: Eukaryota; Viridiplantae; Streptophyta; Magnoliopsida; Malpighiales; Euphorbiaceae.